CUGAGGCAAGAGAAUUGCUUGAACCCUGGAGGCACAGGUUGCAGUGAGCCAAGAUCAUGCACUCCAGCCUGGGCAACAGGGUAAAACUUCAUUUCAAAAAAAAAAAAAAAGAAAGAUCAAUAGUUUUGAUACCUCAUUCACCACUCAGCUUGUUUGAGGAUACUCUUACAUUUGGUUUCUACAGCCAUAACUCAGAUUGGAAAAAACACAUUUUAUUUAUAAUUAUUAGUGUUAAGCUCAGAUAUUUAGUUGAUUUAAAGUAAAUAUUACUAUGAAAGCAUCAAGGUAUUAAAAAUACACUGGCAUUAAUAUACAACAGGUGAGUUCUGAAAAAUUUAUCUUGUUGGCAUUUUAAAGGAUUAGCUAACUCAAUUCUAUGCCCAUUUGAAUUGAAGGAAACGCAGGAUGAAGAAUAAAUCUGAAAUCUAGAAACAGUUGAAGCUUUCUUAUAAAAACAUUUGCCAGUGUUCUCUUUUAAAUUUAAAAUAGUUUUGCAUUUUUCUUUAUCUCAAUUUGCCAUUCAUGUUGGUUUCCCAAAGGAGAAGUUUGUAAUGGUUAUGUAAGCUAAGACUCUCUUAAGUAACUGUAUAUAUUUUGUUUGUCCUAUAGCCAGUAUUUAAAAUAUUGGCUUUUGAAAGUGGAAAAUAUAAAUUAGGUUAAUAGAGAAAAUUUUGUUUUAGGACAAGGAAAAAGACUCAUAAUUUUAUUUAAUAUAACUGACUUGCAAUGUAUUAUUUAGUAUAGAAAAGAUUACAAUAAACCCUGAGCUAUUGCUUUUAAAGUUUUAAAGUGUGUGUCAUUUGUUAAACAUUGCUUUACAAAACUGUAUGGUUAUAGAUUUUAAAUGCCAAGGGACAAACAGUGAUGCAAUCCUUUAAUAACUGGUAUAAUGAAUAGAGUAUCUAGUGAUUUGUGAACUCUGUAUAAUCAUCUAUAAAAAAUAUUGACCACUUGUCUGGAAUUUUCACCUUUCCAGGUACUUAACUCCUUUUCAUUGCUGGUGGUCCUUCUUUUUAUUUUGCUACUUAACAUAUUUAUGCCUGGUGUUCCAUUAUUGGAACACUAAGCUUGUAGGUGUUAUUUAUAUCCUACCACUCAAGUUCAUCGCCAAGGUCUGAUUUUUCACCAAAAAUUUGCAACCUCUGGCAUAAAUGGAUUAAUAAUAGAAGCAAAGAUA
This is a long non-coding RNA of Sapajus apella (tufted capuchin), 1177 nucleotides long. RefSeq lists it as uncharacterized. Lineage: Eukaryota; Metazoa; Chordata; Mammalia; Primates; Cebidae. The record is from RefSeq and is a predicted model, not a curated record. The transcript has 3 exons.